CUUUCCCAGAUUUGACUGUUUACAUUCUACAGACAUACAAUUUUUUCUAAUAGACAACCAACGCAUACUAAACAAUUUUUUUCGUUCACAAAUUCUCCCACCAUGUUUUACUUUCGAUCUAAUUCAAUAUUUUGAUAUGGAAGGCGGUGAACACGGAGAUGAUCAUUCCAGAUCCGGCGGAGAUCCUCUCGGCCCGAUAUCCAAACAAAAUUUGUUCUCAGAACUCCUCAAUGUAAGUUUCAAUGGACCAGAUCUACUACACCUAACAUGUCCAUCAACAGAGUUGUCCAUAUAGUUUACUACUUAUCUUUUUGUGUUUGUCCUUCACUAGUUUAAGAAAGCUUAUGCAAUGCUUGCCAGAGUACCACAACGUUGCCUCCAAAUACCAAAAUUGUCCAUUACUUCUCAAUGUAAGUUUUGACAGACGAGAUCUACUACACCUAAUAUGGCCAUCAACACAAUUGUCCAUAUCUUCUUCUAACUCAUCUUUUUGUGUUUUUCCUUCACCGGUUUAAGAAAGCCUAGACAAACGUUGUCCGAGUACAAAUCUUAUUGACCACAUGUCAGAGGACACGCAUAGGAGUUGUCUCUUGGAAUCUGUCAAAGUGAGUUUUCGAUGGAC
Molecule: long non-coding RNA, 622 nt
Filed under: Capsella grandiflora
Lineage: Eukaryota; Viridiplantae; Streptophyta; Magnoliopsida; Brassicales; Brassicaceae
Description: long non-coding RNA (CGRA_LNC001814)
Source: RNAcentral